RNAcentral lists this ribosomal RNA (1328 nucleotides) under Escherichia albertii. RNAcentral's name for it is "partial 23S ribosomal RNA". It matches the Rfam family "Bacterial large subunit ribosomal RNA", at positions 431 to 1759 of the family's 2925-position model. Lineage: Bacteria; Pseudomonadati; Pseudomonadota; Gammaproteobacteria; Enterobacterales; Enterobacteriaceae. The record is from RNAcentral.
AUCCUGUCUGAAUAUGGGGGGACCAUCCUCCAAGGCUAAAUACUCCUGACUGACCGAUAGUGAACCAGUACCGUGAGGGAAAGGCGAAAAGAACCCCGGCGAGGGGAGUGAAAAAGAACCUGAAACCGUGUACGUACAAGCAGUGGGAGCCCUGAUUUAUCAGGGUGACUGCGUACCUUUUGUAUAAUGGGUCAGCGACUUAUAUUCUGUAGCAAGGUUAACCGAAUAGGGGAGCCGGAGGGAAACCGAGUCUUAACUGGGCGUUAAGUUGCAGGGUAUAGACCCGAAACCCGGUGAUCUAGCCAUGGGCAGGUUGAAGGUUGGGUAACACUAACUGGAGGACCGAACCGACUAAUGUUGAAAAAUUAGCGGAUGACUUGUGGCUGGGGGUGAAAGGCCAAUCAAACCGGGAGAUAGCUGGUUCUCCCCGAAAGCUAUUUAGGUAGCGCCUCGUGAAUUCAUCUCCGGGGGUAGAGCACUGUUUCGGCAAGGGGGUCAUCCCGACUUACCAACCCGAUGCAAACUGCGAAUACCGGAGAAUGUUAUCACGGGAGACACACGGCGGGUGCUAACGUCCGUCGUGAAGAGGGAAACAACCCAGACCGCCAGCUAAGGUCCCAAAGUCAUGGUUAAGUGGGAAACGAUGUGGGAAGGCCCAGACAGCCAGGAUGUUGGCUUAGAAGCAGCCAUCAUUUAAAGAAAGCGUAAUAGCUCACUGGUCGAGUCGGCCUGCGCGGAAGAUGUAACGGGGCUAAACCAUGCACCGAAGCUGCGGCAGCGACGCUGAUGCGUUGUUGGGUAGGGGAGCGUUCUGUAAGCCUGUGAAGGUGUGCUGUGAGGCAUGCUGGAGGUAUCAGAAGUGCGAAUGCUGACAUAAGUAACGAUAAAGCGGGUGAAAAGCCCGCUCGCCGGAAGACCAAGGGUUCCUGUCCAACGUUAAUCGGGGCAGGGUGAGUCGACCCCUAAGGCGAGGCCGAAAGGCGUAGUCGAUGGGAAACAGGUUAAUAUUCCUGUACUUGGUGUUACUGCGAAGGGGGGACGGAGAAGGCUAUGUUGGCCGGGCGACGGUUGUCCCGGUUUAAGCGUGUAGGCUGGUUUUCCAGGCAAAUCCGGAGAAUCAAGGCUGAGGCGUGAUGACGAGGCACUACGGUGCUGAAGCAACAAAUGCCCUGCUUCCAGGAAAAGCCUCUAAGCAUCAGGUAACAUCAAAUCGUACCCCAAACCGACACAGGUGGUCAGGUAGAGAAUACCAAGGCGCUUGAGAGAACUCGGGUGAAGGAACUAGGCAAAAUGGUGCCGUAACUUCGGGAGAAGGCACGCUGAUGGUA